CUGCUCACUUCAGCAGAACAGAUACUAAAAAUUGGAAUGAUACAGAAAAGAUUAGCUUGGCCAGCCCCUGCACAAACAUGACAUGCAAAUUCAAGAAUGAAAAACUAGUUUU
This is a small nuclear RNA of Fukomys damarensis (Damara mole-rat), 112 nucleotides long. Lineage: Eukaryota; Metazoa; Chordata; Mammalia; Rodentia; Bathyergidae. The record is from Ensembl.